CCUACGGGAGGCAGCAGUGGGGAAUAUUGGACAAUGGGCGAAAGCCUGAUCCAGCAAUGCCGCGUGAGUGAUGAAGGCCUUCGGGUCGUAAAGCUCUUUUACCAGGGAUGAUAAUGACAGUACCUGGAGAAUAAGCUCCGGCUAACUCCGUGCCAGCAGCCGCGGUAAUACGGAGGGAGCUAGCGUUGUUCGGAAUUACUGGGCGUAAAGAGUACGUAGGCGGUUAUUCAAGUCAGAGGUGAAAGCCCGGGGCUCAACCCCGGAACUGCCUUUGAAACUAGAUAACUAGAGUCUUGGAGAGGUUAGUGGAAUUCCGAGUGUAGAGGUGAAAUUCGUAGAUAUUCGGAAGAACACCAGUGGCGAAGGCGACUAACUGGACAAGUACUGACGCUGAGGUACGAAAGCGUGGGGAGCAAACAGGAUUAGAUACCCUGGUAGUCCACGCCGUAAACGAUGAUAACUAGUUGUUCGGUCACUUGGUGACUGAGUGACGCAGCUAACGCAUUAAGUUAUCCGCCUGGGGAGUACGGUCGCAGAUUAAAACUCAAAGGAAUUGACGG
This 560-nucleotide ribosomal RNA is filed under the name uncultured bacterium. RNAcentral's name for it is "bacterial SSU rRNA". It matches the Rfam family "Bacterial small subunit ribosomal RNA", at positions 338 to 916 of the family's 1533-position model. The record is from RNAcentral.